GGCAAUGGGGCAGCUAUACAUGCAGUCGAGCGCAGGAAUAAACAGAACCCUUCGGGGUGAUGUUUAUGGAAUGAGCGGCGGACGGGUGAGUAACACGUGGGCAACCUGCCUGUAAGAUCGGGAUAACUCGCGGAAACGUGAGCUAAUACCGGAUAACACUUUUCAUCUCAUGGUGAGAAGAUAAAAGACGGUUUCGGCUGUCACUUACAGAUGGGCCCGCGGCGCAUUAGCUAGUUGGUGAGGUAACGGCUCACCAAGGCGACGAUGCGUAGCCGACCUGAGAGGGUGAUCGGCCACACUGGGACUGAGACACGGCCCAGACUCCUACGGGAGGCAGCAGUAGGGAAUCUUCCGCAAUGGACGAAAGUCUGACGGAGCAACGCCGCGUGAGUGAUGAAGGUUUUCGGAUCGUAAAACUCUGUUGUUAGGGAAGAACAAGUUGGGUAGUAACUGACCCAACCUUGACGGUACCUAACCAGAAAGCCACGGCUAACUACGUGCCAGCAGCCGCGGUAAUACGUAGGUGGCAAGCGUUGUCCGGAAUUAUUGGGCGUAAAGCGCUCGCAGGCGGUCUUUUAAGUCUGAUGUGAAAGCCCACGGCUUAACCGUGGAGGGUCAUUGGAAACUGGAGGACUUGAGUACAGAAGAGGAGAGUGGAAUUCCACGUGUAGCGGUGAAAUGCGUAGAGAUGUGGAGGAACACCAGUGGCGAAGGCGACUCUCUGGUCUGUAACUGACGCUGAGGAGCGAAAGCGUGGGUAGCGAACAGGAUUAGAUACCCUGGUAGUCCACGCCGUAAACGAUGAGUGCUAGGUGUUAAGGGGGUUUCCGCCCCUUAGUGCUGAAGUUAACGCAUUAAGCACUCCGCCUGGGGAGUACGGCCGCAAGGCUGAAACUCAAAAGAAUUGACGGGGGCCCGCACAAGCGGUGGAGCAUGUGGUUUAAUUCGAAGCAACGCGAAGAACCUUACCAGGUCUUGACAUCCUCUGAUACCUCUAGAGAUAGAGUUUUCCCUUCGGGGACAGAGUGACAGGUGGUGCAUGGUUGUCGUCAGCUCGUGUCGUGAGAUGUUGGGGUUAAGUCCCGCAACGAGCGCAACCCUUGAUCUUAGUUGCCAGCAUUCAGUUGGGCACUCUUAAGGUGACUGCCGGUGACAAACCCGAAGAAAAGUUGUGGAUUAU
This 1180-nucleotide ribosomal RNA is filed under the name Oceanobacillus sp. SRNB79. RNAcentral describes it as "bacterial SSU rRNA". It matches the Rfam family "Bacterial small subunit ribosomal RNA", at positions 38 to 1183 of the family's 1533-position model. The record is from RNAcentral. Lineage: Bacteria; Bacillati; Bacillota; Bacilli; Caryophanales; Bacillaceae.